Molecule: long non-coding RNA, 2639 nt
Organism: Poecilia latipinna (sailfin molly)
Lineage: Eukaryota; Metazoa; Chordata; Actinopteri; Cyprinodontiformes; Poeciliidae
Exons: 3
Source: RefSeq, a predicted model, not a curated record
GCGAUCCUCUCCCAGGGCCAGGCCACCGUUCCUUUCUUUACUAAUCUGUGCAGAUAGGAAGACACAGAGAGGAGGAGAGAUUUGAAAAGGACCUGAACAACUUGCUGCUAUUGACGGAACCAGGAACUCUGCUCUCUACCUGAAUAUUCUUAAAGAAAUUGACUGACUAUCAGUUUGUAACAUGAAGUUCAGACUCACUUGGGUUGUGCAUCAGAGCAAUGGAGAUAGACCAGAGAAGCCAGUUUAAGUGGAGUUGAUGGAAGUCUUCAAAGUAGAUGGAAUUAAACAGACUGCAGGCCCUGGGCCACUACUUUAGAGCCUAUAAUCCAGAUUAAAUCCUGCAUCGUUCAGUUCUUUUUUAACUUUCUAUUCUUUGGGAUAAAAUAUGAUAUUUCAAUUGGAUGUCAUCAUUCGGGGGUAAAGCCAAAUGAUCUUAUUAUGAAAUGCCUUUUAAAAAUGCUGAUUGCUUCAACAGAUGUCAGGAUUGUAAUGUGAACGGCGAUUUAUGUUGAGUUCUUGAGUUGUAUAAUCGUGCUGAAGACCCUGUUAGGGAUUCCUUACAACACAGCAGCACACCAUACAAUUUUUUUUAUAAAGCACUUUAAAGAAACAUCAAAGCUGUCCAAAGUGUUGUGAGGCUCAACAUAAAAGACACCUCCAAGAGAACAUAAAGAGAACAAACACAGAAUAUCUACAAAAGGUAAUGAGAAGAAUAUGAGGCAAGUAAAACCAAAAGAACAAAAGAUAAUAUAAAUAUUGGUCACUGGCAUUUUCUCAGAUUCUUUAGAAGCAGUGAGAGUAAAAGUGUGUUUUUAAUGGAGAUUUAAAUUCAACAAGUCAAUUCAUCUCUUGAGUUUGCAGCUGCUGUGCUGACAUAGUAGGAAUGUGAUCAGAGUCUGCAAAGGGGCCCAACAUUGUUAGGAUAUUUAAAAACAAACAAAAGAUAGCAACAUUAAAGACUAAAGUUAAUUUGAAGUCAAUCUGACGUGAUCAGCCUGAUGGCUCCAUAUUGGCACAUAUUUAUUUACUCAGACUGGUAGCUCAAAUCCACAAGAAACUAAACCUAUGUGUGCAAUUUUCCUGACACUCUGAUCCCCACUUAAAAAAAAAAAAAAAAAAAAGAAGAGAGAAAUAUAUGUACUUUAAAAAGAGAUUCACUCAUUCCCCUCGCUCUCUGCUUUUACAGUCGACUCAGUUCCAGAUAUUCACAUAGAUGAGGUUGUUAUCGUGCUGCGUUUAAUUGCGUUUAAUUUUUCUGCUGUCCCCAGUCGCUCUGCGUAGAUUCAGGAAACUCAGAAAACGCAGUUUGUUUGUUUUUUUCAAUGCAUAGAUAACUGACUAUAACCUCAUGGUAUCUAUGCACCAAACCCCCCUCCCCCCCAAAAAAAACUUGUGUUUUCUGAGUUCCUUGCAACCAUAUGUGGAGAUUGGGGAGAGGACAGAAAACACACACGAUAACUACAAGUACAAACACACAUGUACUGUACAUGGAUGACGUCAAGCUGCAUAAAAUUUUCGCCAGUACUACCACGUUGUCUGAUCUGGAGUAUACAUACCUAUAUUAGGUAGAAAAAUAGAAUAAAAAAGCAUGAAUUCUCAUGUCUUUCUCUCAAUCUCUCUGCCUCUGCUUUUAAGGAGAACUUAGUCCCAGGAACAGGAAAGCUGCAACUUCACCUACGUAGAGUCACAAAUUCACCUGCUCAAAUGCAGUGACAAUGAUCACUAGACCGGCAAAGGUUACUAACACAGACCAAAGGCAGAAAGAUGAUGACAAGAGGAAAAGAGGAAAAUGGAACUGAGGGACUGGUAAAAAUAUGAAGCAGUUUUUUUUUCUUUUUUUUUUUUGCUGUUUUUUUUUAACAACUUUUCCUGUUUUUGCAUGAACAGCCAGAUGAAAGAGCAUGCAAAACUUGAGAGAUUACAGAAAAUACAACAUUCAUUUUUAUAAUUCAGUGAUUGUCAUUUAAAAUGCAGUGUCAUUGUUUAUUCUUCACAUGUACAACACGCAUGUUAACCACCAUGGACAAUGACUUCACUCAGCUCAUGACAUUUGUGUUCCAACACUGAUGUGAAUUGCAUGUUUUCAUUCAGUCAUUUAAUUUGAGUAGGAACUGUCUAUUCUCUCCCCCUCUAUUUUUGAUUAAAAAUAAACCAGACUUUUGUUUUCAUGUAAUUUGUGGGUGUGUGUCUGUCAUAUGUGCAGGCCAGUCAGUGUGUGGGAUGUUUUGUGGGUGGCAUAUUUAGCUCCUUAUGCCGAGCUGAGUCCAGUUCUGGCUCAGAGAUUAAAUGUGGUUUAAGCAGAAAAACUUGCUAAAUGUCCCCACAGACUUAAAUAAUGCUUCAUUUUAUCCUCGAAACAAAAAAUUAAGCAAGAACAGCUAUGUUGUUUGCUCACAUUAGCAUGCCUAAGCAAAGUGAUAAAUAAAAAUCAUAAUGAAUUUUCGAAAUAUAAACAUAUGAUAAAUCACUACACAUAUCGGUCUGGGUCACAUAUUAAGUCUCCAGGUGCCAGCUGCUCAGUCAGCUUCUCAGUCUUCCCAGUUUUGUUGCUCAUACACUCCCUCGUGUGUCCUGACAACAACAUUAUUUUCCUCCUCGUUAAUAUCCCGGCGUGUGUCUGAAAUAAAUCCUUGAAGUAU